RNAcentral lists this ribosomal RNA (403 nucleotides) under uncultured prokaryote. RNAcentral's name for it is "bacterial SSU rRNA". It matches the Rfam family "Bacterial small subunit ribosomal RNA", at positions 355 to 774 of the family's 1533-position model. The record is from RNAcentral.
UAGGGAAUAUUGGUUAAUCUGCGAAAGCGGGAACCAGCAACGCCGCGUGAGUGAUGAAGGCCUUCGGGUCGUAAAGAACUUUUUAGAGGGAUGAGGAAGGACAGUACCUCUAGAAUAAGCCUCGGCUAACUACGUGCCAGCAGCCGCGGUAAAACGUAGGAGGCGAGCGUUAUCCGGAUUUACUGGGCGUAAAGCGCGUGCAGGCGGUUUGGAAAGUUGGGUGUGAAAGCUCCGGGCUUAACUGGGGAAGGUCGUUCAAGACUGCAAGACUAGAGAGUGGUAGAGGGGGGCAGAAUUCCGGGUGUAGGAGUGAAAUGCGUAGAGAUGCGGAGGAAUACCGGUGGCGAAGGCGGCCUUCUGGGACAUUUCUGACGCUCAGGCGCGAAAGCGUGGGGAGCAAACG